GAUGAACGCUGGCGGCGUGCUUAACACAUGCAAGUCGAACGGAAAGGCCCAAGCUUGCUUGGGUACUCGAGUGGCGAACGGGUGAGUAACACGUGGGUGAUCUGCCCUGCACUUCGGGAUAAGCCGGGGAAACGGGGUCUAAUACCGGAUAGGACAACUUCGUAGUUGUUGUGGUGGAAAGUUUUUUCGGUGUGGGAUGAGCUCGCGGCCUAUCAGCUUGUUGGUGGGGUAAUGGCCUACCAAGGCGUCGACGGGUAGCCGGCCUGAGAGGGUGUACGGCCACAUUGGGACUGAGAUACGGCCCAGACUCCUACGGGAGGCAGCAGUGGGGAAUAUUGCACAAUGGGCGGAAGCCUGAUGCAGCGACGCCGCGUGGAAGAUGACGGCCUUCGGGUUGUAAACUCCUUUCGCCAAAGACGAAUUUAGGACGUUAUUUGGAGAAGAAGCACCGGCUAACUACGUG
RNAcentral lists this ribosomal RNA (463 nucleotides) under uncultured bacterium. RNAcentral describes it as "partial 16S ribosomal RNA". It matches the Rfam family "Bacterial small subunit ribosomal RNA", at positions 28 to 507 of the family's 1533-position model. The record is from RNAcentral.